CCCUUAGAUGUUCUGGGCCGCACGCGUGCUACACUGAGUGGAUCAGCGGGUCAGGUUGCGCGAAAGUGUUUCCUAAUCUUGAAAUCCGCUCGUGAUGGGGAUUGACGGUUGCAAUUUUCCGUCAUGAACGAGGAAUACCUUGUAAGCGCGGGUCAUCAUCCCGCGCUGAAUACGUCCCUGCCCUUUGUACACACCGCCCGUCGCUCCUACCGAUUGAGUGGUCCGGUGAGGCUUUGGGAUCUGAGCAAAGAGAGCGUUUCGCUCGUUUUGCCCGGAAAACUCGGUCGAACCUUAUCAUUUAGAGGAAGGAGAAGUCGUAACA
RNAcentral lists this ribosomal RNA (322 nucleotides) under uncultured eukaryote. RNAcentral's name for it is "partial 18S ribosomal RNA". It matches the Rfam family "Eukaryotic small subunit ribosomal RNA", at positions 1470 to 1796 of the family's 1831-position model. The record is from RNAcentral.